ACGGAAUUGAAGUUGUUUCGAUGCCAUUGCAUCUCUACAUACGAGGCGAGGAUGCACCUCUUCCUUUUGUUGGGUAUCCGGCUGUGGUAAUCAGACUGGACAGUACAUCUGCACUUGAGACAGUUUACAGAAUCAAUGUGGGAGGGGGCGAUGAUGUUUCUCCCAAAUCAGAUACGGGGAUGUUUCGCACUUGGAAACCGGAUGCUCAAUACAUAUUUGGAGCUGCUUUUGGGCAAUUGGCAUAUGAUUUUGAUCUUAAUGUUAGGUACACAC
RNAcentral lists this unclassified non-coding RNA (273 nucleotides) under Hevea brasiliensis (rubber tree). The record is from RNAcentral. Lineage: Eukaryota; Viridiplantae; Streptophyta; Magnoliopsida; Malpighiales; Euphorbiaceae.